GUUCUCACUCUGACAGCACAUAUGACAAAAUUGGAACAGUACAGAGAAGGUUAUAGACAAUGGCUCCUGCGCAAGGAUGACAUGCAAAUCCAUGAAGCAUUCCAUAUAUUC
This 111-nucleotide small nuclear RNA is filed under the name Ovis aries (sheep). Lineage: Eukaryota; Metazoa; Chordata; Mammalia; Artiodactyla; Bovidae. The record is from RNAcentral.